This 421-nucleotide ribosomal RNA is filed under the name Culicoides zuluensis. Its description in RNAcentral is "partial 16S ribosomal RNA". The record is from RNAcentral. Lineage: Eukaryota; Metazoa; Arthropoda; Insecta; Diptera; Ceratopogonidae.
UUGACCCGGCCCAAGUAGCAUAAUCAAUUGUCUUUUAAUUGAAGGCUGGAAUGAAAGGUUGGAUGAGAUAUAAACUAUUUUUAUUUUAUAAAUAAUGAAUUUUAAUUUUAAGUAAAAAUGCUUAAAUAAAUAAAUUAGACGAGAAGACCCUAUAAAUCUUUAUUUUUUAAAAAAAAUAAAUAAACUUAUAAAAUUUUUUGUUAUUUUUUUGGAAGAAUUUAAUUGGGGUGAUUAUUAAAUUUAAUAAACUUUUAUUAAUUUUUACAAUUUAUAUUUGAUUAUAAUGAUCCAUUAUUAAUGAUUAAAAGUUUAAGUUACUUUAGGGAUAACAGCGUAAUUAUUUUGAAGAGUUCUUAUCGAUAAAAUAGAUUGCGACCUCGAUGUUGAAUUAUAGUAUAGUAUCUUAAAUGCAGAAGUUGAC